This is a regulatory RNA element of Paenisporosarcina sp. HGH0030, 106 nucleotides long. It matches the Rfam family "SAM riboswitch aptamer (S box leader)". Rfam says of the family: The SAM riboswitch is found upstream of a number of genes which code for proteins involved in methionine or cysteine biosynthesis in Gram-positive bacteria. The SAM riboswitch acts at the level of transcription termination control. The predicted structure consists of a complex stem-loop region followed by a single stem loop terminator region. NCBI's taxonomy places the organism in Bacteria, Bacillati, Bacillota, Bacilli, Caryophanales, Caryophanaceae. The record is from Rfam.
UACUUAUCAAGAGAGGUGGAGGGAAAGGCCCUUUGAAACCUCGGCAACAGACUCAUUAUGAGCACUGUGCCAAUUCCUUCAAGCGAUUAUGCUUGGAAGAUGAGUU